RNAcentral lists this ribosomal RNA (218 nucleotides) under uncultured bacterium. RNAcentral's name for it is "partial 16S ribosomal RNA". It matches the Rfam family "Bacterial small subunit ribosomal RNA", at positions 524 to 740 of the family's 1533-position model. The record is from RNAcentral.
UACGAAGGGGGCUAGCGUUGUUCGGAAUUACUGGCGUAAAGCGCACGUAGGCGGAUCGGUCAGUUAGGGUGAAAGUCCCAGAGCUCAACUCUGGAACUGCCUUUAAUACUGCCGAUCUCGAGUCCGGAAGAGGUGAGUGGAAUUCCGAGUGUAGAGGUGAAAAUUCGUAGAUAUUCGGAGGAACACCAGUGGCGAAGGGCGGCUCACUGGUCCGGUAC